UUUCCGUAGGUGAACCUGCGGAAGGAUCAUUAUUGUAUAACCGAGGUGCGAGGGCUGUCGCUGACCGAAAGGUCGUGCACGCCCGAAGGCCCUCACACACAUCCAUCUCACCCCUCUGUGCACCACCGCGUGGUUCCCCCUUUGGCUUGUUCGGAGGGGGGCUUACGUUUUCACACAAACUUUGUAUGCAGUGUAGAAUGUAUUUUUUGUUUUUGCGAUCACGCAAUCAAUACAACUUUCAACAACGGAUCUCUUGGCUCUC
This 262-nucleotide unclassified non-coding RNA is filed under the name plant metagenome. Its description in RNAcentral is "partial contains small subunit ribosomal RNA, internal transcribed spacer 1, and 5.8S ribosomal RNA". The record is from RNAcentral.